AAUACAUUUAAUGCUCAUAGGAGUCAAAAGAACCACUGAAAAUAGAUCUCAAUUUGCCUUUAUAGCAUCCAUUUCUUUUUGCGAGUCAAAGAAGUCACACUGGGAGAGAAACAGGGGCUGGAAGGCUGCUCUCACGAGAGACCAUUAGCCUCAGGAAAUGGAGUGGGGAGGACCUAAUGUACUAAAGAAGCAGAUGUAUUUCAAGUUAAUGCAGAACUUGUGGCCAUGGAAUCCAGAGGGUAUUCUGUUAAAGGUCAUUUUGUGAAGAAAUUGCAGUGGAAGACUGACUGAUCCUUGCCAGCAUAAAUUCUCAGAAUAAACCGUAGGGGAAGAGGAUCACAUCACUAAUACUAAAUAAUGCUGAUUUAAAGGGAUUUUUUGGGUUGUCAACUGAUCCCAAGCGGCUGCAAACUCCUGUGAGCGUUCUAUUGUGAGUAGUAUGAAAACCAAUCUGUUGCAGUGGUAAAGACAGGAGUUUGCCACACUUACCCUAAGAAUAUACACUGCCUUGCUCCAUCUCUGACUGUCAAGUAGAAUCUACUUUCUGAAGAGAAAGAAGUAUCACAGAUACUGACAACCCUAAAUUGGCUGUAUGAUGGUAAGGAGACAUCUAAAUUAAUGUUGUUGACACAGAGCAUGAUAGAUGUUGUGAUAUAGCCAGCUCCCUGCUUCCCCACCAAUCUUAGGAUCCUUGUAUAACCUUGCUAAUAAAUACCAAGAAAAUAUUCAA
Diceros bicornis minor is the source of this 730-nucleotide long non-coding RNA. RefSeq lists it as uncharacterized. The transcript has 3 exons. The record is from RefSeq and is a predicted model, not a curated record. Lineage: Eukaryota; Metazoa; Chordata; Mammalia; Perissodactyla; Rhinocerotidae.